AGGGAAAGGUGAAAAGAACCCCGGGAGGGGAGUGAAAUAGAACCUGAAACCGCAUGCAUACAAACAGUAGGAGCCUUUACGGAGGUGACUGCGUACCUUUUGCAUAAUGGGUCAGCGACUUACAUUCUGUGGCGAGCUUAACCGAAUAGGGGAGGCGCAGCGAAAGCGAGUUCGAAAUGAGCGUCCAGUCGCAGGGUGUAGACCCGAAACCAGAUGAGCUAUCCAUGGCCAGGUUGAAGGUGUGGUAACACACACUGGAGGACCGAACCGACUAGUGUUGCAAAAUUAGCGGAUGAGCUGUGGAUAGGGGUGAAAGGCCAAACAAAUCUGGAGAUAGCUGGUUCUCCCCGAAAACUAUUGAGGUAGUGCCUCGUGUGUCGCUCCAGGGGGUAGAGCACUGUUUUGGCUAGGGGGACAUGGAGUCUUACCAAACCAAGGCAAACUCCGAAUACCUGGAAGCGUAAGCACGGGAGACAGAGCACCGGGUGCUAACGUCCGGACUCAAAAGGGAAACAACCCAGACCGCCGGCUAAGGUCCCAAAUAACAGCUAAGUGGAAAACGAAGUGGAAAGGCCGUGACAACCAGGAAGUUGGCUUAGAAGCAGCCAUCCUUCAAAGAAAGCGUAAUAGCUCACUGGUCGAGUCCUUCUGCGCGGAAGAUGUAACGGGGCUAAGCUGUUAACCGAAGCCGCGGAUGCGCUGGUUAUCCAGUGCGUGGUAGGGGAGCGUUCUGUAAGUCUGCGAAGGCGGUUCGAGAGGACUGCUGGAGAUAUCAGAAGUGCGAAUGCUGACAUGAGUAACGUUAAAGCAGGUGAAAAGCCUGCUCGCCGUAAGCCCAAGGAUUCCUGCUCUACGUUCAUCGGAGCAGGGUGAGUCGGCUCCUAAGGUCAGGCCGAAAGGCGUAGCCGAUGGGAAUCAGGUUAAUAUUCCUGAACCUGCGUCAGAUGCGAUGGGGGGACGGAGCAUGGAAGAUCAUCCGGGUGUUGGAAGUCCCGGUUGUUUAGCGUAGGAGGUCUGCAGGCAAAUCCGCAGACGCAUCUCCAAGGCAAAGACACGUGCCGCCACGGCGGCGAAGUGAUCGGAAGUGCUUCCAAGAAAAGCCUCUAAGCCCCAGUCUGACGCGGACCGUACCGCAAACCGACACUGGUGGGCGAGCUGAAUAUGCUCAGGCGCUUGAGAGAACUCGGGAGAAGGAACUCGGCAAAUUGACACCGUAACUUCGGAAGAAGGUGUGCCGUAGUACCGUGAGAGGAGAGACACCUUGAGCGGGAAACGGUCUCAGAGAAUAGGUGGCUGCGACUGUUUAUUAAAAACACAGCACUCUGCAAAGUCGAAAGACGACGUAUAGGGUGUGAUGCCUGCCCGGUGCUGGAAGAUUAAUUGAUGGGGUGAGAGCCCUUGAUCGAAGUCCCAGUAAACGGCGGCCGUAACUAUAACGGUCCUAAGGUAGCGAAAUUCCUUGUCGGGUAAGUUCCGACCUGCACGAAUGGCAUAACGAUGGCCACACUGUCUCCUCCCGAGACUCAGUGAAGUUGAAAUGUUUGUGAUGAUGCAAUCUACCCGCGGCUAGACGGAAAGACCCCAUGAACCUUUACUGCAGCUUUGCAUUGAACUGUGAACCGAUUUGUGUAGGAUAGGUGGGAGGCAGAGAAGAGGCCACGCCAGUGGCCUUGGAGCCGACCUUGAAAUACCACCCUGAUUUGUUUGCGGUUCUAACCACGGACAGUGAUCCUGUCUUGGGACCGUGCAUGGUAGGCAGUUUGACUGGGGCGGUCUCCUCCUAAAGGGUAACGGAGGAGUACGAAGGUACGCUAGGUACGGUCGGAAAUCGUGCUGAUAGUGCAAUGGCAAAAGCGUGCUUGACUGCGAGAGCAACAACUCGAGCAGAUGCGAAAGCAGGUCAUAGUGAUCCGGUGGCUCUGAAUGGAAGGGCCAUCGCUCAACGGAUAAAAGGUACUCUGGGGAUAACAGGCUGAUACCGCCCAAGAGUUCAUAUCGACGGCGGUGUUUGGCACCUCGAUGUCGGCUCAUCACAUCCUGGGGCUGAAGUAGGUCCCAAGG
This 2061-nucleotide ribosomal RNA is filed under the name human gut metagenome. RNAcentral describes it as "bacterial LSU rRNA". It matches the Rfam family "Bacterial large subunit ribosomal RNA", at positions 506 to 2570 of the family's 2925-position model. The record is from RNAcentral.